Molecule: long non-coding RNA, 2782 nt
Organism: Trachemys scripta elegans
Lineage: Eukaryota; Metazoa; Chordata; Testudines; Emydidae
Exons: 7
Source: RefSeq, a predicted model, not a curated record
UUCACUUUCAUUACAAGUACCCCUGCCAAGAACACUAGGGUUAGGCAGGAGCCACCAUUCCCUUUCUCCCUGUGGGAAUAUAGCUACUUUUUAUUACCAUAACUUGUUCUUUCUUUAAUGGUUUUUCAUUAAAAUUUAAGGGGGGAAAAGAAGAAAAAGAAUAAAGUGGCAUUUUUUAAACUACUACAAGAGGCAUUAAAUAGCCAGCCUCCCUCUGGAAUCGCUAUACGCUUUUCAUUAAGCAGGAUAGAAUUUUUUUUUCUUUUUUUAUUGGAACUUCACAGUAGGACUACAAAAGUUUGUAUCCAUUGAUUGUUUUCAUUUAAUAAGAGUCAAGGCUUUCAGCCCCACCCCUCUGCUGCGUCGUAUUGCUCCUUACAUUUCCCCAGGGACUUGGUACUAAGUUUUCCUAAAAUCAUUCCUAUGAGUAUGCUCUCAUCUCACAAGUGACUGAUCCUCCAGGAUGCUGAGUACUCUCAAGUUCUACUGAAGUCAGUGGAAGUCGAGGGCAUGCAGCUCUUUGCAGGAUUUGCUCACAAAGUCAUGGGUGAGUCAUGUGUACUCUGUGCAUUUUAUAUGGCCAGAAACUGUGAGAUCAAAACAGAGAUUGAAUCAAGUCAAAACUAGGAUCACCCAAGGGCCAGGAGAAUUUGCAUCUGUGGUGUUGAUUUGGACCAAUAUAAACAUAGAGGAUAUCUGCAGAAGUAGAUGCAGGUCCUGAUUCAUGUUUCAACAACCCCUCCUCAAAAUGGGGUGUUUGGAUUUGAGGUUCUGCUUUGAAUUAAUCCCUCUACUUAUCAAUGGGUCUCACUAGGGUGAGCAAAGCAGUUUGGAAAAUAAGAACUGACUCAAACUCAGUUUGAACCUGAACCAAACCUUUUUUUGAAGGUUUAAAAAGAUCAUUUGAUUUUUCCCCCUCUCAUUUUCAUUCCUGCCCAGCUGUUUGCCAUUGAGUUCAGGCCAGGGCUGGAAGCAGAAGUAGUGGUAUACCAUGAGAAAUGUAGGAGAAGUUGGAAUUAUAAGACAGCAGAUUUGCAUGAAAUUUCCAGGUCUGUUUUGCAGCACCAGCUUCCAAACUUUAAGUGCUUACCUGAACCCGACUUUUUGUCUUUUUCCCAUCACUAAUUCUCAAGUUCUCCUUGUAAGCCCUAAAGUGAGGCAUGAUUUAGGAAUUCCAGGUCUUAUUCACAGUUUUCCUUAGCUUAUUUUCUCUAUUCUGUGGCUCACUCAAAAUUUAGACUUGAAAUAACCCUUUUGGGGUGAUAUGGAGUCCUGAUCUGAAUUUUGUGACAUAAGCCCAUCUCAAAGCUUUAUUCAAUCCACAUAUAAAAUAUUCUUCAUCCUGCAUUCAGUGAAAACCCCCUUAUGCAACUAUUCAAGAGAACAACAAAAACUGGUUCCUUAACAGAAUUAUUCUUCUAAUAAAGAUGGAGGAUAAUUUUUCACACUACAUUUGAGAACACUCUGUGGGAGUCUCUCAAGCCAUCUCCCAAGCCCCUUGUUUUUUGUCAGAUUCUCUGAAGGACUGACCACUUCAGGAGCAGUAUUGCUAGAUGUCUAUUACUGAUACCUUGAGUUUAAUUCUCAAUGAUGUGCUCUUUCUUUCUCUUACACUCCUUUUCUACCUGGUGUUGCUGGGGAGAUAUCUUGCUUAGCCUCUGUUAUAACAGAAUACUUUUCUGUCUUCAGCAGUGACACCCUUGUAGUUGAAGUAGGAGAUGCAUUUAUGCUCCCCAAAUGAAGACAUUCAUCAUUAGAGGCCAAGGGAAGUCACCAGUGGCCUAGUCCAGUUUCAUUGAAAUGAAGAGUCUUUCAAUGCAUUUCAUUGGACAUUGAAUCUGGUCCCAAGUCCGAGUUGCUGUCAGAGAAGGCCUGGAGUAGGUGUGUCCAGGUGUCAAGAUAUAACUGAUAUGAAAAUUCUUCUUCUUCCUGUGGCCAACUCGUUUGCUAAAACACUUAAGAAAUCUGAUAAAACACCUGUUGUUCAGGACCUCUGCCUCAUUCAGUGCACCAGAUGGACCUGCUCACAGGAUGAAUCAGGGAUGUGUGGUUUUCAUGGUCUCUGGAAUUUUGCAGUACUUUUGCCAUAGUCCACUCCCAAUCACCAUGGUAUUUAGAUUCUAAAUUAAAACCCUCUUCUGAGCCUUGUAAUGAUGCUGACUUCCUGUUUGAAUGCUGACACCAGUGAUAGGACAGGCUUUUUCUCCAGCAUUUUACAUCAUCACCUUUGAGGCAAUAUUGGACACAGUCAAAGGAAGCAGUAGGACAUGUACAGAGCUUUCAAUUCAAGGUCAUUCUGAACCCUCUAACCCGUAAAAAAUAAAAAUAGAGAGAACUGCCUUCCAGGCCUGGCUUUUUCCACUGCUCUGGAUUCUGUCCUUAAUGAAAUCUUAAAAUAAUGAGGCAUAACUUUUAUUAUAAACAUUAUUAAAAAACAGUUUCUAAAACUUCAGUGCUAUGCAGCUGGUUUAUAGUAGGUUACAUGGCAUAAAUAUUUUUCAAUAAUAACAUAAAUAUAAUAUUAAGUUUAUGUGGAUCUAUGUAUUCUGAACUAAAAUAGAGGAUUACUGAGAACUUUGCCCACAUGACCUUGGAACUAUGACCUUUCCUUUUCUGUGAUUUUUUUCCCCCCUUCUGGUUUAUUUUUAGUCUGAAGUGAGCUAUGGUCUAGGAAGCCAGCAUGGCUUGGGAUAUUGUGUCCAACAUAGGUUAAAAAAACAACAACCCCAUGGCAGUAUGAGAUGUGGGACAUUAAAAAUAAAUACAUAAAUAAAGUAAACAU